AUAUAUAUAGUUUAAAAAACAUUACAUUUUCAUUGUAAAGAUAAAAUAAUUAUUUUUAUAUAUA
This 64-nucleotide transfer RNA is filed under the name Pontia edusa. RNAcentral describes it as "tRNA-Glu". Lineage: Eukaryota; Metazoa; Arthropoda; Insecta; Lepidoptera; Pieridae. The record is from RNAcentral.